RNAcentral lists this non-coding RNA (48 nucleotides) under Trichobilharzia regenti. The record is from RNAcentral. Lineage: Eukaryota; Metazoa; Platyhelminthes; Trematoda; Strigeidida; Schistosomatidae.
AUCCAGCUGACGAGUCCCAAAUAGGAAGAAAUGCGAAUCAUCCUGGAU